Molecule: ribosomal RNA, 255 nt
Filed under: uncultured Asaia sp.
Lineage: Bacteria; Pseudomonadati; Pseudomonadota; Alphaproteobacteria; Acetobacterales; Acetobacteraceae
Description: partial 16S ribosomal RNA
Rfam family: Bacterial small subunit ribosomal RNA
Source: RNAcentral
CUGGCUCAGAGCGAACGCUGGCGGCAUGCUUAACACAUGCAAGUCGCACGGACCUUUCGGGGUGAGUGGCGGACGGGUGAGUAACGCGUAGGGAUUUAUCCAUAGGUGGGGGAUAACACUGGGAAACUGGUGCUAAUACCGCAUGACACCUGAGGGUCAAAGGCGCGAGUCGCCUAUGGAGGAGCCUGCGUUCGAUUAGCUAGUUGGUUAGGUAAAGGCUGACCAAGGCGAUGAUCGAUAGCUGUCCUGAGAGGA